Molecule: RNA transcript, 3025 nt
Organism: Macaca mulatta (Rhesus monkey)
Lineage: Eukaryota; Metazoa; Chordata; Mammalia; Primates; Cercopithecidae
Gene name: 3-phosphoinositide-dependent protein kinase 1-like
Source: RefSeq, a predicted model, not a curated record
CGCGGCCAUCGCUGGGGCUCCGCUUCGGGGAGGAGGACGCUGAGGAGGCGCCGAGACGCGCAGCGCUGUGGGAGAGGCGCCCGCGCCGACGCUGGGCCCAUGUCACCCAGUAUGACGCCGUGCCCAUCCAGUCCAGCAUGGUGUUAUGUUCCUGCCCGUCCGCAUCAAUAGUGAGGACCCAGACUGAGUCCAGCACAGCCCCUGACAUUCCUGAUGGCAGCAGGCAGGGCCCCGCCGUGGACAGCACCGCAUCUGAGGCGGCCUGAGGACUUCAAGUUUGGGAAAAUUCUUGGGGAAGGCUCUUUUUCCACAGUUGUCCUGGCUCGAGAACUGGCAACCUCCAGAGAAUAUGCGAUUAAAAUACUGGAGAAGCGACAUAUCAUAAAAGAGAACAAAGUCCCGUAUGUAACCAGAGAGCGGGAUGUCAUGUCGCGCCUGGAUCACCCCUUCUUUGUUAAGCUUUACUUCACGUUUCAGGACGACGAGAAGCUGUAUUUCGGCCUUAGUUAUGCCAAAAAUGGAGAACUACUUAAAUAUAUUCGCAAAAUCGGUUCAUUUGAUGAGACCUGUACUCGAUUUUACACGGCUGAGAUUGUGUCUGCUUUAGAGUACUUGCACGGCAAGGGCAUCAUUCACAGGGACCUUAAACCGGAAAACAUUUUGUUAAAUGAAGAUAUGCACAUCCAGAUCACAGAUUUUGGAACAGCAAAGGUCUUAUCCCCAGAGAGCAAACAAGCCAGGGCCAACUCAUUCGUGGGAACAGCGCAGUACGUUUCUCCAGAGCUGCUCACGGAGAAGUCCGCCUGUAAGAGAUUUUACAUGAGGACCCAUGGCAUGGCCCAGCAGGAGCUGCUCAAGCCCCAUCCUAACAGGCUUCCUGAGGACACAUCAGCCCAGCUGGGCACCUGGAAUUACGGGCAGAGGGGCCCUGUCGAGGGGGCUGAUGUGUGGACUAAACACCUGCACACGUCACCCCAGGCACCCUCGAGUGACUUCCAGUGACUCGCCAGAGAGCAGAGCACGGUGAGUCCUCUGUGAGAAGCCGACAGUUCCUGCAGGUCCACCAAGGCCCGGUCACAUCAGGAGGCUUCAGAGGCACCAGGUGACCCAGGCCUCUCCCCAACAGACCUGAGCCUGUAGCAUCUCGGGAAACCCCUGACGGUGUGGCCACGUCUUGCCGCCUACAGCCUAACCCUGACCAGCCACCAUCCCAGGUCUAGGUCCGCCCUUAUAGAACGCCCGCGGCAGCGUCACGUGGCAGGCAGAAGUUCCCACCCGGAAAAGCAGCAGGCUGGGCCCGCUUCCGGCGGGAGUGGAACCGGGUUUGGGGCGCCAACGCUAGAGGGCACUGGCAGCGAACCACCCCCAACCGCGCCCCCACUCCGUGAGGGGGUCAAAGGAAGAGCCACGCCAGCAAACCUCUACACUCUACAUGCUUUUUAUUACAAGACUACUGAGCAUACGAGGAAAAUUCAUCAUCUGGUAACUACACCUAAAGCACAUAUAUUUGGGAAAAAAAAAAGAGAUUCAUUAAAUUAUAUGAUUAAAUCACUGACCCAAUAGAAAAUUUAUAUAAUAAAGCCAGAAAAAAAGUUGUAAAAUAUAGUUUACAAUAAUUAUUCACAUUCAAGGCUGUACAUCAAUACAUACAACAACGUGGCCCCGAACAUGAAUUCAAUCCAAAUAAUUCAUAUAUUAGAAUUUAAAUAACACAGACUGAACUAGAGGCCAACAAUAGCCAGCAAAUAACCUUAUAUAAGAAUAAAAAUACAAAAGUGUAUAUCCUAAUAUCAUUGCAUUGUUUUCAUAAGUCUCUUAAUUUUUGCUUUGCCUGUACAUCACAGUUACAGCUACAGACCAGGUAGAGAUUACGCAUGUUCUGACUGCCACCCGCCUGAAAGACGUACUCGUCAUUUCUCCUAUUUUAUGUUGUGAAGGAACAGCUACAGCAGCUCUAAAUACUGUAACAAUUAAAUUUUGCCAACGUCCAACUUACAGUCAUAAUAGAGGCUUUUACCAGCACAAUGACCCCUAUUUGUAGUCAUUCUGCCAGAUGGUUAGGCUACGUGGGUUACACGGCUAAAAAAAGGUCUGCCUUUUGUAAAAAGUUCCCUGUACGUAGUUUGGUGUUUCUUCAUAUUGAAGAAAUGAGUUAUGGGGAAAAUUCAGGUACACACAUAGGCUCGUUCAGUUGUGCUCACCACAGCCAUAGCAACAGAUCAAAGUGCUCUUUGUUGGAAACAGCUUCCUCCUCACAUCAGUUCUCCACAGGCAGCCUCAUUUACAACCCUGCAAUUUUGGGCCAGAAGUGGUGGCCCCUCAGAGGCUCUGAAGUGCCUCCAGCCCCAAUUCAGGCACUUGCCACGUGUGCUGCGUAAGAAGGGACCCCACCCAGUGAGUCAACAUAGGUUCAUGUCAGGUUUGAGUUUGAAAAUAACUGGGGAAAAGUGUAUGACAGCAUCUUCCACAACAUAGUACCUUCACCAUAUUCUCACAGCAGCUGCGCUCUGAAGUCCCAGCAGUGAGCACCCCGGCUUUGUGGACCAGCCAGGCAAGGGGGCUUCAGGCUUCAGAGGAGGGCAAGAAACCAAAUUCUGUGCUAUUUGGCCAUACUCUCUGGUAGAGUGAAGCAGCACUGAACGCGGUGCCUAGAAAAACCUCCUGCAUGUUCCCCCGUACAAGCAAUGGACCCCAACUAAAGUGGAGAAAUAAAAAUCCAACCAAAUUUAGGUGGUCUGGACUUGCCGCCAGCCAGGCAAUCUGCAAUACUGUGGGCAGGGAGUGGGGAAGAGACGGCCUGAAAUCUACACCAGCUGGGACAACCACGCCCUACAAUGAAAAAGCCAGCCUCGCUGCCGGGCUCUUCUGAACCACUAAGGCCUGAAGCAGGGGCGGAAGCGGGGAGACAAAUGCACUCAGAAAACCCAAUCAGCGACAUGGUUUUUUUCAAGUAGAGGCUUUGCUCUGCUACUGAUUCCAAAUGGCCUAAUGUACUUUCUGAGUCUAUAAACUUAAUUACAAAUCA